AGAUGAAGAACGCAGCGAAAUGCGAUAAGUAAUGUGAAUUGCAGAAUUCAGUGAAUCAUCGAAUCUUUGAACGCACAUUGCGCCCCUUGGCAUUCCGGGGGGCAUGCCUGUUCGAGCGUCAUGAUCAAAUCUCAAGCCUAGCCUUGGUAUUGGGCUUUCGUCUCCUGUCAUUUUGGCUGGUUGUGACGUGCCUGAAAAUCAAUGGCGAUGCCUCAAUAGACUCAAGCGUAGCAGACUGACUUGCGCUUUGGAGGGCUGCUGUAGGUUAUUGCUAAUAAAACAAUCAAGUUGGACCUCGGAUCAGGUAGGGAUACCCGCUGAACUUAAGCAUAUCAAUAAGCGGAGGA
This 347-nucleotide unclassified non-coding RNA is filed under the name soil metagenome. RNAcentral describes it as "partial contains 5.8S ribosomal RNA, internal transcribed spacer 2, and large subunit ribosomal RNA". The stretch from base 2 to 121 matches the Rfam family "5.8S ribosomal RNA", at positions 35 to 154 of the family's 154-position model. The record is from RNAcentral.